UAUGAGGUUACAUUUGUGAACUGAGACAGA
Molecule: non-coding RNA, 30 nt
Filed under: Homo sapiens (human)
Lineage: Eukaryota; Metazoa; Chordata; Mammalia; Primates; Hominidae
Source: RNAcentral